ACACUUAUAUGGCAGGGGUGGUACCAUGAUCACAAAGGUGGUACUACCAGGGUGAGGCUUACCCUUUGUACUCCGGAUGUGCUGAUCCCUGAGAUUUCCCUGAAAAUGAGAAACUUGACUGCACAAUUUGUGGUAGUGGAGGAUUGUGUUCAUGCUCUACCCUAAA
Small nuclear RNA from Sorex araneus (European shrew), 166 nucleotides. Its record names the gene U1. It matches the Rfam family "U1 spliceosomal RNA". From Rfam's summary of the family: U1 is a small nuclear RNA (snRNA) component of the spliceosome (involved in pre-mRNA splicing). Its 5' end forms complementary base pairs with the 5' splice junction, thus defining the 5' donor site of an intron. NCBI's taxonomy places the organism in Eukaryota, Metazoa, Chordata, Mammalia, Eulipotyphla, Soricidae. The record is from Ensembl.